This 71-nucleotide transfer RNA is filed under the name Marmota monax (woodchuck). RNAcentral describes it as "tRNA.Val". Lineage: Eukaryota; Metazoa; Chordata; Mammalia; Rodentia; Sciuridae. The record is from RNAcentral.
GAGGCUGUAGUUCAGUGGUAGAGCAUUUGCCUAACAUGUGCAAGGGCCUGUGUUUGAUCCUCAGCACCACA